Molecule: unclassified non-coding RNA, 4310 nt
Filed under: Hevea brasiliensis (rubber tree)
Lineage: Eukaryota; Viridiplantae; Streptophyta; Magnoliopsida; Malpighiales; Euphorbiaceae
Source: RNAcentral
CCCUAAUCCCAAAUUCACCAAUCUGUCUUCUCUCGAUUUCGGGAGGCCAUAUAAAAGGCGCCGCCGUCCUUGACCGACCAAAAAGUCACCGCAUAUAAAAAGUAGCUUGAUGCGUAAACGACACCGUAAAUAUAAAACGAGACCGUUUUGAGGUGUAGAAAUGAACGGUGGAGAUGAGAGUGGGACCGCGCGAGGAAUUGAUUAACAGCGACGCGGCAAAGGUGUGGGAGAGAGGAGACAAAGUCAGUCCACUAUAUUCAUUUACUCACUGAAAAGAAAUCGUCUCGUCUAUCCAUUUGAUUGAUCGUCAUUUCUUCAAAAACUCAUAACCAAAAUUCAAUCCAAUUCGCUUUCUCUUCUCAAGAAACCCAAUUCCACAGUCACUUCUUGUUGUGUUUCUUCUUGUUGUUGUGUUUCUAUGAUCGAUGUAUAAAUACUGGUAACAAAUGAUGAAUGGGAGCAGGCCAACUGUGCAUCCUGUGGAGGCUCCGCCGUUGACCGAUGGACCUCUGAAUGGGCCCAGGAUGAGGAUGAAGAACGUCCAAGGCAUGCCUGGAACACACGGUGGCCUCACUCUUCGUCUGCUUCAGUUUGUGUUUGGUCUCGUCUCUCUCUGCGUCAUGGCCACCACCAGCCACUUCCGCACCUUCACAGCGUUUUGCUACCUAGUCAUUGCUGUUAGCCUGCAAAUAUCAUGGAGUUUGUCCUUGGCAAUUGUGGAUGCUUAUGCCCUUUUGGUGAGAAGAAGUCUCAGAAAACGUGCAAUUGUCCGUCUUUUUGCCAUUGGUGAUGGGAUUACAUCCACCCUUAUAUUCGCAGCUGCCAGUGCAUCUGCUGGCAUCACAGUCCUAGUUGGCAAUGAUCUUAAUAGGUGUUCUGUGAACCCCUGCGCUAGGUUUGAAACUGCCACAGCCAUGGCUUUUAUGAGCUGGUUUGCCAUGACACCAUCCUUUCUCAUGAAUUUCUGGGCAUUGGCUUCCCAGUAAGAAUUGGUUAGAUAGAAUCUUCAGUCACGUAGGACUAUACUAUAUUGCACUCUUUUUCUGAAUGGUGUGCAAUGGAGAUGUGAUUGCAACUACUUGGUAGAUGGAUAAAUUUUGUUACAGUUAGGUUAGGGGAGUUUUAAUUUUGAGAUCAUCAAUUGCAGUAUGGUGCUUUAAUUUCAAGAAAUAUGUAGAAUUUGGUCGGUUAGAAAUUAACAUGACUUUUUUUGGUCCAUUUCUCCAUUCUGUGAUACUGGUUUAUGUUUCGUAACUUGAUCAUUAUGACGCUUCACUGCAGUGUUGCUCAAAUGUUUUUGCAUGCAUGAAAAUUUGCAGCACAAGUACCAUGUCACGUUUUUUGAAUGGCAGGGUUAUGGUUAAGGCUUCUUAAAGUUCCCUAGUUGUUUAUUGGAGAACUGAAAUGAGUAAGCUUGGAGCAUUAGGAAAAUAUACAAAUCGUAAUGCUUUUCGCAUAAGCCUUACCAAUCCACUUAGGCUUUGAGAAGCUCAUGCUGUCUGAGCACACUUCACAUGCAAAUGGAUCUAAAGUAGGAAUUCCAGGUACAGUGGGUGGGAGGUUGCAAAAUACCUUCCAGGGUAACUGAAUUGUAUAUAAUUGUACGUUUUAUAAUCUUUCAUAGUCGGUUGUAUUUAAUCGUUUGAAUACUUCAUCAAUAUUUUGAUUUUUAAGGGAAUGCAGAGAUGUAAAUAAUAUUCCAAAUAACCAAUGAUCCUGUUGAUUGUAUAUGUUCCAGAAAUCUAUUUUUGGAGCAUUCUUGACAGCAAUUGAUAUCUGAGACUACAUCUUAAUUUUCAGGAUUUGUUUGUCUUCUAAAAAUUGAUGACUUGGCGUGGAUCUACUAGUGAACAUGAUGUGUUCUCAUAGUGUACUUGGCAGAAAUAAAUGAUCCCAUGAAAUUUUCUGAGAGACUAAUGAUUACCUCGAGGCAGAGCAACCUUCCUUGCAAAAAUAGCAAUUAAUAAAGCAACGUUUGGUCUUUAGCUUCGGUUAGAACUUGUUCUUUUCUUAUUUGCUAUCCAUCACAACUCUGACCAGCCUCUAUCCUGAUAUCUCUAUAGCCAGGAAUUCCCAGUAAGAGAUUCAGCUUUGGCCUUCCAUGAUCUAGUACCAGAUGAAGUUCCACAUGUCCUUUUGUUACUUGUUUAAUAGCAAGAAACCCCACACAAAAUCAUCUAAUUUGAUAAAUGAACAGAAGUGAAUUUCUUCCAAAUUGUAAAUGCAUAUUAUUGAGCAUAGUGCAGCAAAAAACAAUAAAUCCUCCCUCCCCCAUUGUAAAAUACUAAAAAUGGGAUGAGGGAAGAAACAUGAACACAUUCUAGCUAAUACUAUAGCAGCACCAGUCCCUAAACAUCUGGUAAAGGAAAAACUGAUACAUUAUAUGUAAUGUGCAAUAUAUUUUUUUGGGGGGUGGGGGCGGGGGCGCGGCCGGGGGUGGGGUUUGUGGAUGUGUGUGGGUGGUGGUGUGUGGGGUGGGUUGUGUGGGUGAGUAAAAAAAGAAGAUAUCUCGUUCAGAAUGGCCUUUCCCUUGGUUGAACUCAACACAGAUUUUCCUCAUGAGAAUUUUCUAAGGACGUGUUUUCCUCAAGAAACAAGCUAUUAGGGUCAGAAUUACACAAGAAGAUGAAAGUAGAACCUGUUCAACCCACUUAUAUCAUGAGCGACAUUUUAACUUUGCAGCCUCCAGCUUCUUUUUUAAUGCCUCCAUCCGUUCAAUCAAGGCCAUGUUUUCCUGUAAAUGAUGGAAUUUGUAAGAAAAUGACAAUUCAAACUAAAGAUGCUACCUUAAUUGUAUGGAUGAGAAUAGAUUUCUUCAGUCUUCCUCAAUCAUCAAAAGCCAGAAAACAGAAACAAAAGUAUAAUUAAGGCAGUUUUUAUCACACUGCAGAUCCUAGCUAAGAAGUAUCUUAUAAGUGCACAUUAAUUAAAUUUCAUAAGUAGAUAAGAAAACAUGGCAUUACAUUGACUUGAGAAGCAACCUAUGUUAAGUGAUCUUGACCAAGUCAUUUUACUUGGAGUUCAUAUAUUGCAAAAGAGAAUCCAAAAAAUGAUUUAAGGGGAUCUCAAAAAAAAGAAUAUAUAUCAAGGGGAAGAACACAAAAGUAUACAAGAAAUUAAGCUCAGAGAUUUAGUUUUAAAGGCUCACCUUUUGCAGCAUUUCCAGUUGCUGGUUAAUACUAGCAGCAUCCUCCACCUUCUGCUUAAUCACACAUAAAAGUUUGAAGGACAAUGCACAUAUUAGCCUCUCCAUGAUUCACACUCUCAUUUUAAUGGCACUGAUCUGUCUUCUUGUACAACCUCAUCAAACUUGAACAUCCCAGAUACUAUGAGGUAAACAAUCAAAAGACACGAAAAUGCACUGCUCCUCUUUGAGAUGAUACCUAUACAAAAGAAUUCCAUAAAUACCUCUCUCUCAGAAAUUAGCCGCAUUGAUUGGACCAUUAUAUUCAUAAGUAAUCCAACUAUCAAAGAAUUAGCAAACUCUAGAUUAGGUAAAGGUAUUAUUAAUUCUUACUAGAAAUGCAUAUUGAAAAAACAAAGACACUUGCAGGUUAGUUGAGAUAGUAGUAGCUUUGGCUUUGUUUUUCCUUUGCCCCCUACAUACAUGGAAACCACAUGAGGAGUCUGCAUGCAAUUUGACUCAUUGACUUAUUUAGUUUGAUUUCGAACAUAAAGAUGACAACACGGAUCUGUCAUAGGCAUGAAAGAAGCAUACCUAAAUUUGGACCCAAGUGCAACAAUGAAAGGUAAAAUCCCAAUAAAAAUAGUGAAAAGAUUAGGUGAAGCAGCAGCCCCAAAAAAUAAAAUCCCAAUUAUUAUAUAGCUAAAUGAUUCAGAUAAUAGAAACAGCUGAUUGGCAUCACACAUGCCUCUAUCAGUUCCUUAUCACACUUUGCAGCCCUCUCUGCUUCUUCAUCAUAUUUCAUUCUCCACUCAGCAGAUUCAUCCAUUGCUUCCCUGUUGGCAAGAUCGAAUUGUCUUCUCAACAACUCAGUGUCAUCAGAAGAAAUAGCAUAAUCAAUGGACCACAGCCUCAAGUAAACAGCAAUUCCAAGAAACAUAGCUACUACCAAACCCACCAAUAUCUUCUUCCUCUCUCCUCCCAUACUCUCUCAAAUUCACAGACAGAGAUGGGUUUUGGGUUUGGCUUCUCUUUGGAUUUCGAUUUCAAGGGCCUCUCUCUCUCUUUCUCGUUGCUUGCUUGCUACGAGUGACAAAGAUGUCAGAGGCGCUGUUAGUCAGGUUGCUUUGGAUUGGGUGCCCUUGCGUUAAGUUGCUGUUCUUGCAACCACCAAUCACAUCAGACU